AGAGUUUGAUCCUGGCUCAGGAUGAACGCUGGCGGCGUGCCUAAUACAUGCAAGUCGAGCGAACGGACGAGAAGCUUGCUUCUCUGAUGUUAGCGGCGGACGGGUGAGUAACACGUGGAUAACCUACCUAUAAGACUGGGAUAACUUCGGGAAACCGGAGCUAAUACCGGAUAAUAUUUUGAACCGCAUGGUUCAAAAGUGAAAGACGGUCUUGCUGUCACUUAUAGAUGGAUCCGCGCUGCAUUAGCUAGUUGGUAAGGUAACGGCUUACCAAGGCAACGAUGCAUAGCCGACCUGAGAGGGUGAUCGGCCACACUGGAACUGAGACACGGUCCAGACUCCUACGGGAGGCAGCAGUAGGGAAUCUUCCGCAAUGGGCGAAAGCCUGACGGAGCAACGCCGCGUGAGUGAUGAAGGUCUUCGGAUCGUAAAACUCUGUUAUUAGGGAAGAACAUAUGUGUAAGUAACUGUGCACAUCUUGACGGUACCUAAUCAGAAAGCCACGGCUAACUACGUGCCAGCAGCCGCGGUAAUACGUAGGUGGCAAGCGUUAUCCGGAAUUAUUGGGCGUAAAGCGCGCGUAGGCGGUUUUUUAAGUCUGAUGUGAAAGCCCACGGCUCAACCGUGGAGGGUCAUUGGAAACUGGAAAACUUGAGUGCAGAAGAGGAAAGUGGAAUUCCAUGUGUAGCGGUGAAAUGCGCAGAGAUAUGGAGGAACACCAGUGGCGAAGGCGACUUUCUGGUCUGUAACUGACGCUGAUGUGCGAAAGCGUGGGGAUCAAACAGGAUUAGAUACCCUGGUAGUCCACGCCGUAAACGAUGAGUGCUAAGUGUUAGGGGGUUUCCGCCCCUUAGUGCUGCAGCUAACGCAUUAAGCACUCCGCCUGGGGAGUACGACCGCAAGGUUGAAACUCAAAGGAAUUGACGGGGACCCGCACAAGCGGUGGAGCAUGUGGUUUAAUUCGAAGCAACGCGAAGAACCUUACCAAAUCUUGACAUCCUUUGACAACUCUAGAGAUAGAGCCUUCCCCUUCGGGGGACAAAGUGACAGGUGGUGCAUGGUUGUCGUCAGCUCGUGUCGUGAGAUGUUGGGUUAAGUCCCGCAACGAGCGCAACCCUUAAGCUUAGUUGCCAUCAUUAAGUUGGGCACUCUAAGUUGACUGCCGGUGACAAACCGGAGGAAGGUGGGGAUGACGUCAAAUCAUCAUGCCCCUUAUGAUUUGGGCUACACACGUGCUACAAUGGACAAUACAAAGGGCAGCGAAACCGCGAGGUCAAGCAAAUCCCAUAAAGUUGUUCUCAGUUCGGAUUGUAGUCUGCAACUCGACUACAUGAAGCUGGAAUCGCUAGUAAUCGUAGAUCAGCAUGCUACGGUGAAUACGUUC
RNAcentral lists this ribosomal RNA (1384 nucleotides) under Staphylococcus aureus VET1868R. RNAcentral's name for it is "bacterial SSU rRNA". It matches the Rfam family "Bacterial small subunit ribosomal RNA", at positions 8 to 1373 of the family's 1533-position model. RNAcentral also lists the same sequence under 1 other name. The record is from RNAcentral. Lineage: Bacteria; Bacillati; Bacillota; Bacilli; Caryophanales; Staphylococcaceae.